UCCGCCCCGCGCGCUCCUUGCCGAGGAGCCGAGCCCGCGCCCGGCCCGCCCGCCCGGCGCUGCCCCGGCCCUCCCGGCCCGCGUGAGGCCGCCCGCGCCCGCCGCCGCCGCAGCCCGGCCGCGCCCCGCCGCCGCCGCCGCCGCCAUGGGCUGCCUCGGGAACAGUAAGACCGAGGACCAGCGCAACGAGGAGAAGGCGCAGCGUGAGGCCAACAAAAAGAUCGAGAAGCAGCUGCAGAAGGACAAGCAGGUCUACCGGGCCACGCACCGCCUGCUGCUGCUGGGUGCUGGAGAAUCUGGUAAAAGCACCAUUGUGAAGCAGAUGAGGAUCCUGCAUGUUAAUGGGUUUAAUGGAGAGGGCGGCGAAGAGGACCCGCAGGCUGCAAGGAGCAACAGCGAUGGUGAGAAGGCAACCAAAGUGCAGGACAUCAAAAACAACCUGAAAGAGGCGAUUGAAACCAUUGUGGCCGCCAUGAGCAACCUGGUGCCCCCCGUGGAGCUGGCCAACCCCGAGAACCAGUUCAGAGUGGACUACAUUCUGAGUGUGAUGAACGUGCCUGACUUUGACUUCCCUCCCGAAUUCUAUGAGCAUGCCAAGGCUCUGUGGGAGGAUGAAGGAGUGCGUGCCUGCUAUGAACGCUCCAACGAGUACCAGCUGAUUGACUGUGCCCAGUACUUCCUGGACAAGAUCGACGUGAUCAAGCAGGCUGACUACGUGCCGAGCGAUCAGGACCUGCUUCGCUGCCGUGUCCUGACUUCUGGAAUCUUUGAGACCAAGUUCCAGGUGGACAAAGUCAACUUCCACAUGUUUGACGUGGGUGGCCAGCGCGAUGAACGCCGCAAGUGGAUCCAGUGCUUCAACGAUGUGACUGCCAUCAUCUUCGUGGUGGCCAGCAGCAGCUACAACAUGGUCAUCCGGGAGGACAACCAGACCAACCGCCUGCAGGAGGCUCUGAACCUCUUCAAGAGCAUCUGGAACAACAGAUGGCUGCGCACCAUCUCUGUGAUUCUGUUCCUCAACAAGCAAGAUCUGCUCGCUGAGAAAGUCCUUGCUGGGAAAUCGAAGAUUGAGGACUACUUUCCAGAAUUUGCUCGCUACACUACUCCUGAGGAUGCUACUCCCGAGCCCGGAGAGGACCCACGCGUGACCCGGGCCAAGUACUUCAUUCGAGAUGAGUUUCUGAGGAUCAGCACUGCCAGUGGAGAUGGGCGUCACUACUGCUACCCUCAUUUCACCUGCGCUGUGGACACUGAGAACAUCCGCCGUGUGUUCAACGACUGCCGUGACAUCAUUCAGCGCAUGCACCUUCGUCAGUACGAGCUGCUCUAAGAAGGGAACCCCCAAAUUUAAUUAAAGCCUUAAGCACAAUUAAUUAAAAGUGAAACGUAAUUGUACAAGCAGUUAAUCACCCACCAUAGGGCAUGAUUAACAAAGCAACCUUUCCCUUCCCCCGAGUGAUUUUGCGAAACCCCCUUUUCCCUUCAGCUUGCUUAGAUGUUCCAAAUUUAGAAAGCUUAAGGCGGCCUACAGAAAAAGGAAAAAAGGCCACAAAAGUUCCCUCUCACUUUCAGUAAAAAUAAAUAAAAUAACAGCAGCAAACAAAUAAAAUGAAAUAAAAGAAACAAAUGAAAUAAAUAUUGUGUUGUGCAGCAUUAAAAAAAAUCAAAAUAAAAAUUAAAUGUGAGCAAAGAA
This 1693-nucleotide small RNA is filed under the name Pan troglodytes (chimpanzee). Its description in RNAcentral is "processed transcript". The record is from RNAcentral. Lineage: Eukaryota; Metazoa; Chordata; Mammalia; Primates; Hominidae.